AUGGUAGUGAGAUUGACUGAGUUUGGGGAUAAACUUGAAUUUAUAACUUGUCCAGCGCGCACUUCAUAAUUACUAUAUCUGAUUCUAGUGGCAUUCUUGUUGCUUCGAGUAUUGAUAGUCCAAGUGGGAGACUGUAAGAAUUUGUGGACUUAUCAAUCUCAAUUAGGAAUGCAAUAACUUGCUACUCUACUUGCAGAAAAAGUAAUCGGACAGAGUUGUGCUAUUCUAGUUUAAUUCCUCCUGCAUUGAGGAUACAAAUUUAUGUAAUGGCCAUGCUUUGUAUCAUUAGUAAACUCUUUUGUAUUUGAAUCAGGAUU
Molecule: long non-coding RNA, 317 nt
Filed under: Rosa chinensis
Lineage: Eukaryota; Viridiplantae; Streptophyta; Magnoliopsida; Rosales; Rosaceae
Description: sRNA RchiOBHm_Chr7g0225851
Source: RNAcentral